Molecule: small RNA, 54 nt
Filed under: pig gut metagenome
Description: Streptococcus sRNA SpF59 (ldcC RNA)
Rfam family: Streptococcus sRNA SpF59 (ldcC RNA)
Source: RNAcentral
GACCGCUCGAUAUUAUCGAGCCAAGGCCAUACGGACAGCCGGGUCCACUGCCGA